RNAcentral lists this ribosomal RNA (888 nucleotides) under Pythium torulosum. RNAcentral's name for it is "eukaryotic LSU rRNA". The stretch from base 222 to 376 matches the Rfam family "5.8S ribosomal RNA". Lineage: Eukaryota; Oomycota; Peronosporomycetes; Pythiales; Pythiaceae. The record is from RNAcentral.
CGUAACAAGGUUUCCGUAGGUGAACCUGCGGAAGGAUCAUUACCACACCAUAAAACUUUCCACGUGAACCGUUACAAUUAUGUUCUGUGCUCUCUCUCGGGAGGGCUGAACGAAGGUAGAGCUGCAUGUAAAAGUGCGGUUUUGCCGAUGUACUUUUAAACCCAUUACACUAAUACUGAACUAUACUCCGAGAACGAAAGUUUUUGGUUUUAAUCAAUAACAACUUUCAGCAGUGGAUGUCUAGGCUCGCACAUCGAUGAAGAACGCUGCGAACUGCGAUACGUAAUGCGAAUUGCAGAAUUCAGUGAGUCAUCGAAAUUUUGAACGCACAUUGCACUUUCGGGAUAUUCCUGGAAGUAUGCUUGUAUCAGUGUCCGUACAUCAAACUUGCCUUUCUUUUUUUGUGUAGUCAAGGAGAGAAAUGGCAGAAUGUGAGGUGUCUCGCUGACUCCCUCUUCGGAGGAGAAGACGCGAGUCCCUUUAAAUGUACGUUCGCUCUUUCUUGUGUCUGAGAUGAAGUGUGACUUUCGAACGCAGUGAUCUGUUUGGAUCGCUUUGCGCGAGUGGGCGACUUCGGUGAGAACAUUAAAGGAAGCAACCUCUAUUGGCGGUAUGUUAGGCUUCGGCCCGACUUUGCAGCUGACAGUGUGUUGUUUUCUGUUCUUUCCUUGAGGUGUACCUGUCUUGUGUGAGGCAACGGUCUGAGCAAAUGGUUAUUGUGUAGUAGAAUUUUGCUGCUCUUGGACGCCCUACUCGUAGGGUAAAGGAGGCAACACCAAUUUGGGACUAGUCUGUUUCGGCAGGCGCAUUUUCAAUUUGGACCUGAUAUCAAGCAAGAUUACCCGCUGAACUUAAGCAUAUCAAUAAGCGGAGGAAAAAAGAAAACAA